RNAcentral lists this transfer RNA (91 nucleotides) under compost metagenome. Its description in RNAcentral is "tRNA-Arg". The record is from RNAcentral.
UCGCGGCGCUGGGCGGCGCGUUCUUCGUCGCUUCCGACGCGACGCUUGCGAUCGACCGCUUCGCCGCGCCGUUCGGCGCGGCGUCGGCGGU